Molecule: ribosomal RNA, 480 nt
Filed under: uncultured bacterium
Lineage: Bacteria
Description: partial 16S ribosomal RNA
Rfam family: Bacterial small subunit ribosomal RNA
Source: RNAcentral
AUUGAACGCUGGCGGCAGGCUUAACACAUGCAAGUCGAACGAUGAAACUCUAGCUUGCUCGAGAUGAUUAGUGGCGGACGGGUGAGUAACAUUUAGGAAUCUGCCUAGUAGUGGGGGAUAGCUCGGGGAAACUCGAAUUAAUACCGCAUACGACCUACGGGUGAAAGGGGGCGCAAGCUCUUGCUAUUAGAUGAGCCUAAAUCAGAUUAGCUAGUUGGUGGGGUAAAGGCCCACCAAGGCGACGAUCUGUAACUGGUCUGAGAGGAUGAUCAGUCACACCGGAACUGAGACACGGUCCGGACUCCUACGGGAGGCAGCAGUGGGGAAUAUUGGACAAUGGGGGCAACCCUGAUCCAGCCAUGCCGCGUGUGUGAAGAAGGCCUUUUGGUUGUAAAGCACUUUAAGCAGGGAGGAGAGGCUAAUGGUUAAUACCCAGUAGAUUAGACGUUACCUGCAGAAUAAGCACCGGCUAACUCUGUG